GAACAACUACCGCAAACUUGUACAACUACCGUUGCAAGAACCGAGACCGGCAAGUCCGAAGACCCCAAGUACCACGACUACCCUCGAGGACGUUUUCUCCGUCAAGUUCGACUACAACUCGUGUACGACUACCGUCGCCGUGAACAACUACUUCCACUACAUCGCGAGAACGCCUACUUCCCUCUACGAAACGCGAACCGUCCCAUUUGAACCCUUCGAAGGUAUAACCCGAGACGACCGUGAUGAGAUGCCCUUGCAUGUAUGAGAUGUACCUUAUGUUUGCACCAUGUCCGAGUUGCCUUUGCGCGUUCCUCGUUUGCCAUGCCACUAACCCGUGGGAACCCGGUAGUCAGGAGCACCCCACCAUCUCUAGCAUGUUGCGCACAUCCACACGCUCCCUUUUGCACCGGUAUCUCGGUGAGCUAUCGGAACCGAUAUGUUGCCGUGGCAUCAUUUUCGGAUAUGUUGCCGUGGCACCAUUUCCGUUUCGCCGCCGUGGGACCCUUUUCGUUUCGCCGCCGUGGCACCCUUUUUUGUUCUGCCACGGUGACAAAUGCUUCAUAACAUGCUCUUGUCAACAUUUUCAUAAAAAUUGCAUAAAACUUGCAUAUGUCAUCCGCAUCAUGAUAAUAACAAUUAAAAUGUUUAAACUUGUUGUUGCAUUAAAUUGCUAAAUGCAUGUGGGGAUUUACCGGAAUUGUUGUUUGUUGUUCCGGCCUCACUUAUACUUGCCUAGAUAGGUAGUUUUCAUAUGCCUCACCUCUUGCCAUGCUUAACAACAUUUAAUAUUGUUGGGUACAUAACCGAGAGAGAACUAAAUAAUUGAUGUGGUGUUCCAUCAAUAUGCAACUCGUUGCAUAUUGAGCUCCACUUAACUUGUAGUGUUGUUUGUGCAUAUUGCCAUGCCAUGCCUCUUUAAACCGGACAUGCAUCAUACUUGUUUGUGCAUCAUGACAUGUUUAUGCUUGUGUGUUUACCAUAUUGUUUGCUUCUUUCCGGUUUGCUUCUCUCGUUAGCUUCGGUUUCAUUCCGGAGUUGUGAGGUUUCGCUCGACUACGCCCGUUCGUCUUCUUCAUGGAAUCGUUCUUCUUCCUUGCGGGAUUUCAGGCAAGAUGAUCAUACCCUCGAAAUCACUACUAUCUUUGCUAUGCUAGUUUGCUCUCUCUUUUGCUAUGACAAUUCUACGAUGCCUACCAUUUGCUUGUCAGCCUCCCAAAUUGCCAUGUCAAACCUCUAACCUUUGACACUAUUCCUAGCAAACCGUUGUUUGGCUAUGUUACCGCUUUGCUCAGCCCCUCUUAUAGCGUUGUUAGUUGCAGGUGAAGAUGAAGUUUGUUCCUUGUUGGAACAUGGAGAUGCUGUUCCUUGUUGGAACAUGUUUACUUGUUGGGAUAUCACAAUAUCUCUUAUAUUUUUAAUGCAUCUAUAUAUUUGGUAAAGGGUGGAAGGCUCGGCCUUAUGCCUGGUGUUUUGUUCCACUCUUGCCGCCCUAGUUUCCGUCAUACCGGUGUUAUGUUCCCGGAUUUUGCGUUCCUUACGCGGUCGGGUGAUUUAUGGGACCCCCCUGACAGUUCGCUUUGAAUAAAACUUGUCCAGCAAGGCCCAACAUUGCCUUUUACCAUUUGCCUCACCUAGCCCUUUUUCCCUUGGGUUUCCGGAGCCCAAGGGUCAUCUUUAUUUACCCCCCCGGGCCAGUGCUCGUUGGGAGUGUUGGUCCAAACCGUCAGCCGCCGGUGGCCACCAGGGGCAACUCUGGGAUGGCCUACCAGAAGUUUGGACAAUCCGGUGUGCCCUGAGAACGAGAUAUGUGCAGCUCCUAUCAGGAUUUGUCGGCACAUUCGGGCGGCUUUGCUGGUCUUGUUUUACCAUUGUCGAAAUGUCUUGAUGUACCGGGAUACCGAGUCUGAUCGGAGUGUCUCGGGUGAAGGUCUAUUCCUUCGUUGAUCGCGAGAGCUUGUCAUGGGCUAAGUUGGGACACCCCUGCAGGGUAUAAACUUUCGAGAGCCGUGCCCGCGGUUAUGUGGCAGAUGGGAAUUUGUUAAUGUCCGGUUGUAGAAAACCCGAAGUUGACCUUAAUUAAAAUACAUCAACCGUGUGUGUAACCGUGAUGGUCUCUUUCCGGCGGAGUCCGGGAAGUGAACACGGUGUUGGAGUUAUGCUUGACGUAGGUUGCUAUAGGAUCACUUCUUGAUCAUACUUUUAUCGACCGUGCUUUGCCUUCUCUUCUCGCUCUCAUUUGCGUAUGUUAGCCACCAUAUAUGCUAGUCGCUUGCUGCAGCUCCACCUCAUGCCUUUACCUUACCCAUAAGCUUAAAUAGUCUUGAUCUCGCGGAUGUGAGAUUGCUGAGUCCUCGUGACUCACCAGAUACUUCCAAAACCAGUUUGCAGGUGCCUAUGUUACCGAGCAGGAGACGCAACCAAGCUCAAUGAGGAGCUCGAUGAAGAUCUUGCCCUUGGUAUUGUUUCGUUCUAGUUGAUCAGUUGUGGAGCCCAGUUGGGGUUGAUCGGGGACCUUUGUCGCAUUUGGGGUUCUUCUUUUAUUUUGGUUCCGUAGUCGGACCUUGAUUGUAUCUGGAUGAUGUAAUGCUUUAUUCAUGUAUUUGUGUGAAGUGGCGAUUGUAAGCCAACUAUGUAUCUUUUUCCCUUAUGUAUUACAUGGGUUGUGUGAAGAUUACCUCACUUGCGACAUCGCUUUCAAUGCGGUUAUGCCUCUAAGUCGUGCUUCGACACGUGGGAGAUAUAGCCGCAUCGAGGGCGUUACAC
This 2763-nucleotide long non-coding RNA is filed under the name Triticum aestivum (bread wheat). RNAcentral describes it as "long non-coding RNA (TAES_LNC011721)". The record is from RNAcentral. Lineage: Eukaryota; Viridiplantae; Streptophyta; Magnoliopsida; Poales; Poaceae.